RNAcentral lists this ribosomal RNA (447 nucleotides) under uncultured bacterium. RNAcentral's name for it is "bacterial SSU rRNA". It matches the Rfam family "Bacterial small subunit ribosomal RNA", at positions 329 to 793 of the family's 1533-position model. The record is from RNAcentral.
AGCCAGACUCCUACGGGAGGCAGCAGUGGGGAAUAUUGCACAAUGGGGGAAACCCUGAUGCAGCAACGCCGCGUGAGUGAAGAAGUAUUUCGGUAUGUAAAGCUCUAUCAGCAGGGAAGAAAAUGACGGUACCUGACUAAGAAGCCCCGGCUAACUACGUGCCAGCAGCCGCGGUAAUACGUAGGGGGCAAGCGUUAUCCGGAUUUACUGGGUGUAAAGGGAGCGUAGACGGCAUGGCAAGUCAGAUGUGAAAGCCCGGGGCUCAACCCCGGGACUGCAUUUGAAACUGUCAGGCUGGAGUGCAGGAGAGGUAAGUGGAAUUCCUAGUGUAGCGGUGAAAUGCGUAGAUAUUAGGAGGAACACCAGUGGCGAAGGCGGCUUACUGGACUGUAACUGACGUUGAGGCUCGAAAGCGUGGGGAGCAAACAGGAUUAGAUACCCUGGUAC